RNAcentral lists this ribosomal RNA (497 nucleotides) under uncultured bacterium. RNAcentral's name for it is "partial 16S ribosomal RNA". It matches the Rfam family "Bacterial small subunit ribosomal RNA", at positions 28 to 507 of the family's 1533-position model. The record is from RNAcentral.
GACGAACGCUGGCGGCGUGCCUAAUACAUGCAAGUUGAGCGCUGAAGGUUGGUACUUGUACCAACUGGAUGAGCAGCGAACGGGUGAGUAACGCGUGGGGAAUCUGCCUUUGAGCGGGGGACAACAUUUGGAAACGAAUGCUAAUACCGCAUAAAAACUUUAAACACAAGUUUUAAGUUUGAAAGAUGCAAUUGCAUCACUCAAAGAUGAUCCCGCGUUGUAUUAGCUAGUUGGUGAGGUAAAGGCUCAACAAGGCGAUGAUACAUAGCCGACCUGAGAGGGUGAUCGGCCACAUUGGGAAUGAGACCCGGCCCAAACUCCUACGGGAGGCAGCAGUAGGGAAUCUUCGGCAAUGGACGAAAGUCUGAACGAGCAACGCCGCGUGAGUGAAGAAGGGUUUCGGAUCGUAAAACUCUGUUGGUAGAGAAGAACGUUGGUGAGAGUGGAAAGCUCAUCAAGUGACGGUAACUACCCAGAAAGGGACGGCUAACUACGUG